This is a non-coding RNA of Candidatus Liberibacter africanus PTSAPSY, 72 nucleotides long. The record is from Rfam. Lineage: Bacteria; Pseudomonadati; Pseudomonadota; Alphaproteobacteria; Hyphomicrobiales; Rhizobiaceae.
GCGGGUGUAGCUCAGUGGUAGAGCACAACCUUGCCAAGGUUGGGGUCGAGGGUUCGAAUCCCUUCGCCCGCU